UAUAAAUUUUAAAUGUAUCUAAUGAAUAUUACUACUUUUCAGACUGUGGAUCUCCAUUGAAUGUGACCAAUGGUAAAUUGCAGUAUAACGCAACGACGUUUGGAUCAACCGCUUCUCUUGCCUGUGAAACAGGAUAUGAUGGAAACGGUACAAUAAGCUGCCCUGACACUGGCAUUUGGGAAAGCCCACCAAAAUGUUCUAUUAAAGACUGUGGAUCUCCAUUGAAUGUGACCAAUGGUAAAUUGCAGUAUAACGCAACGACGUUUGGAUCAACCGCUUCUCUUGCCUGUGAAACAGGAUAUGAUGGAAACGGUACAAUAAGCUGCCUUGACACUGGCAUUUGGGAAAGCCCACCAAAAUGUUCUAUUAAAGACUGUGGAUCUCCAUUGAAUGUGACCAAUGGUAAAUUGCAGUAUAACGCAACGACGUUUGGAUCAACCGCUUCUCUUGCCUGUGAAACAGGAUAUGAUGGAAACGGUACAAUAAGCUGCCUUGACACUGGCAUUUGGGAAAGCCCACCAAAAUGUUCUA
Ruditapes philippinarum (Manila clam) is the source of this 531-nucleotide long non-coding RNA. RefSeq lists it as uncharacterized. The transcript has 3 exons. Lineage: Eukaryota; Metazoa; Mollusca; Bivalvia; Venerida; Veneridae. The record is from RefSeq and is a predicted model, not a curated record.